This 1116-nucleotide long non-coding RNA is filed under the name Lathyrus oleraceus (garden pea). RNAcentral describes it as "Pisum sativum (pea) long non-coding RNA (PSAT_LNC041976)". The record is from RNAcentral. Lineage: Eukaryota; Viridiplantae; Streptophyta; Magnoliopsida; Fabales; Fabaceae.
AAAAAAUUGUUACAGAUGGAAACAGGUUCCUAAUUCUAAUGACCAAGACCAAAAUCAAUGGACUGAUUAAUCCCUUUGGACUUAGGCACGAAAACAAGGCUGUCUUGAAGCUUAGAGCAGCCACCUUCCAUUCCAUCAAGUCUCUUCAAACCUGUAAUCUGCAGAAAACAAAAAUAGCUUAAAUAAAAAGCACUUUUCAAAAGCGCUUAAAAAACUAAAAAAUAACUAAACAAAUUACUCAGUUUGAAACUUUACCCAGCAGGUUAACUUGAACAUCCAAAAAGGCAUUGCAAUAAUAAUUUAAAACAGAACAAAUCCACAGAAAUUAAAUCCCACAUAAUCUGGGAUGGGAAAAUCGAAAAAGAAAGGAUUUUUCAAGACUUAAAAAUUCUUCAUAAACACACAAUAAGAACACAACAACAAAAAGGCACAUAAGAACACAACACCAAGAACAACAAAUUAAUUUUCUCUAAAAAACCUAAAAAGUUAACAGCAACAACAGAGCAUUUUUCUCAAACACACACAUGAGAACAGAGUGAUUUGUUUCUUGAAAACCAAGAACAACACAUUAAUAUUCCUAAAAACCCUAAAAACGAACACAAGAAAAACACACACAUGAGAACAGAGUGAUUUGUUUCUUGAAAACCAAGAACAACACAUUAAUAUUCCUAAAAACCCUAAAAACGAACACAAGAACAACAAAUCAAUUUCUUUCAAACCCAGAAGAACACAACAAGAAAUUCAAAAAAAAAAACCUAAAAAACUUACAGAAAAGCAAAGGGAAAGUAGUUCACCUCACUGAAGAAUCGCUCGCCGAAGAGAACCGUUGCCGGCAUCCGGAGGAUCUCACCGAACCCGGAGAUUUUCAGAGCUUCCGAUUUGGUAAACGAUUCACACCUAUCUUCUUCCAUGAGUUUCCCUUUUUUGUAGAUAUUUUGGUUGAGUUUGUUUUCGCAUGAUUUUAUGUUGUGUGUCUCGAAAUUAUGAGAAGGAGAAAGAGGGUUGGUUCAUGAAACAAAGUUAGGAGAGGGAGAGAAUGAAGCGACGGAGGAGAGCGGAGGCUCCGCCAUGAGCCGCCGUCUCCGGUCGUCUUCUCCAAGAGAGAGGAGCUUUAGG